This 2059-nucleotide unclassified non-coding RNA is filed under the name Hevea brasiliensis (rubber tree). The record is from RNAcentral. Lineage: Eukaryota; Viridiplantae; Streptophyta; Magnoliopsida; Malpighiales; Euphorbiaceae.
UGAAUAUUCAGGUUAGGUGGUACUAUAAAAGCUCAUGGCCUAUAUUUCACAUAUUAUUGACUAGAUGCCAAAUAGUUUCACGCAAACUUUUCCAGAAUCACACCAUAUAUGUUGAAUCAUCAAAAUUUGAUAUAUACCUCAGGGGAAAAGGGAGUAGAAGAUAAACUGAACAUUAUUCAAGAUCAAAAUUUUGCCUGAAGAAGAAAUGCAGUGGGAAAUACGUAACUGGAAGAGUCUUCUUCGCUUGAACUUUUUGUUACAGAGUCUAGAACUUUCUUCCUGUUGUGAAGUCGGGCACUGCCAUUCAUCAGAUUCAGAAAGGAAUCUGAACCAAGUUGUGAGGCAGGUAUCGAACAUAUAUCAUUCGGGUAACUUCAAGCGGUUGAAGAGUACAAGGAAACUAUGCUCGGGAACUACGUGGAGAAGCCCGAGAUCUGCACCUUUGACGUAUGGCCCAAUACCCCUGCCAUUUAGUUGGAGAAGUUCUCCAUCAACCCAUUGUGGAUUUCGGAAUCCAAAUUCAGCUAUUCUUCCUUGACCUUUAUAACUUGCAACCACUCCCAGUUCAUCUGGAUACAUUCCACGGUUGGCAGUGCGGUUUACUCUCCCAAUUUUAGCCCGGAAAAUGAUCUGGCCAGCAGGAAUAUUAAGAUCACCAGUCAGCUUUACUGCCUCUACAUACUCAAAGAACUCCAUAUCUGAAGUUUCGUCCUUGUCAUCCAAAUCAUUCCAAUGUCCAAAUUUUCGUCUCAACUGCACCACCUCAGUGCCAUAAGGGCCGAAUGCACCAACAUAGAGACCAUCAAAUGGAUCUAGGUCUCCUCUCGAUGUGGUAAUCCGAUUGAAAGUAGUAUAUUCAGAUAGUUUACUCCGCUUCUGUGCUUGACUGACUGCCAGUUUGACUAUCUCACGAACAUUCCUUGAAAUCUUUGGAGAAACCUUAUCAACACCCCAAAAUGCUUUGGCAACAUCAGCAGGCAUAAGCUCGGAAACACCUUGGGCUGCCAAAGCUGCCACUUUGACCUUCGGGACUUUAUUUUCUGCAGCAUCAAGAUCUAGGCCUCUCCCAGGAAUAUGCAGCACAAAAGAAUCUCUAUCCAUAUCCUGAAUAUAAGCUGGAUGGCGUACAAACUCCUCCUUUGUAGGAGUCUCUUCACUGUUAUGUACAACCCCACCAAUAUAAAGCUUCAUAUCUAGAUCUUUUUCAUCGUCACUAGCAUCGCUAUUCUCACCUAAUGAAACUGCCUCAGGCUGAAUCUCAUCUAACUUAUCCAUUUCAUCAUCAGAAUUCCCACCAGUCUCUGUCUUCUCGCUAUCUUCUUGCAUCAAUUGCUUGACAGAGUUAGCAUCCUCAAUGACUUCCUUGGAAACAUUGAUAUUCGUUACUUUAACUUUUAAUCCCGGAAUUUUAUCUUUCAAAAAAUUUAUCACCCCCUUUAUUCCCUCCUCAGUAGCUCCUUCCACAGUAACACCCUUUUCCUCACUUGGCUCCUUCGUAGCCUCAUUCUCUGGAAUGUCUACAGCAGCUUGAUUCUUGACUCCAGAUGUGGAGGGGCUAUUUGAAGGCUCUGAUGGUGGACUUGUUGAGAUUUUUGAAUUUCCUUUGGAUCGUUGCAAGUACACUACCUGCAUGACAUAUCUCUCCUCAUCAUCUUUGACAAUAAAGAUCUCAAACAAUGGAGUUCCUGGUGAUGCAGUAACCAACUGUCUUGGACUGUAACCCCUCCCAAUAAAUCUCCCGACUCCAGGAGUUAUACGUAUUAAUCUGCCAAAGGGAUCAUCUGAAUCUUGAGAGUACCCCACCCACCAUCCCACCAAUCCACUUCCUGUGCAUUUACACAACAUUGAAGCAUCUUGGUAUCGCUCCUCCUCUAUUGCACUCUUCAACUGGUUCAUAAUUUCAGCAACACUGUCCUUUUGUGUAGUUUCAGCAAUAGCCAGUUUCAAUUUUGCAGCUUCUUCAAAGUCUUCUUUCUCAACGGCCUCUUCAAGUUGAAACUUGAGAACAGAGGCAAAGCUUUCAGCCUGUUCCAUUUCAGAGAAAUACCGGUUCCACCUA